GUUACCAGCACUUCGGGUGGGGACUCUAGUUAGACUGCCGAUGAUAAAUCGGAGGAAGGUGGGGAUGACGUCAAAUCAUCAUGCCCUUUAUGUCCCUGGGCUACACACGUGCUACAAUGGUCGGUACAGAGGGCAGCGAGACUGUGAAGUUUAAGCGAAUCUCAGAAAGCCGACCCCAGUUCGGAUUGCAGGCUGCAACUCGCCUGCAUGAAGUCGGAGUUGCUAGUAAUCGCAGAUCAGAAUGCUGCGGUGAAUGCGUUCCCGGGUCCUU
This 271-nucleotide ribosomal RNA is filed under the name uncultured Gallicola sp. Its description in RNAcentral is "partial 16S ribosomal RNA". It matches the Rfam family "Bacterial small subunit ribosomal RNA", at positions 1114 to 1382 of the family's 1533-position model. Lineage: Bacteria; Bacillati; Bacillota; Tissierellia; Tissierellales; Peptoniphilaceae. The record is from RNAcentral.